UGAGGAAUAUUGGUCAAUGGGCGCAAGCCUGAACCAGCCAUCCCGCGUGCAGGAAGACGGCGCUAUGCGUUGCAAACUGCUUUUCCAGGGGGAGAAACUUGCGCACGUGUUGCGCAAUUGACGGUACCCUGGGAAUAAGCAUCGGCUAACUCCGUGCCAGCAGCCGCGGUAAUACGGAGGAUGCGAGCGUUAUCCGGAUUCAUUGGGUUUAAAGGGUGCGUAGGCGGACUAUUAAGUCAGUGGUGAAUCCUGCAGCUUAACUGCAGAACUGCCAUUGAUACUGAUAGCCUUGAGUUUGGUUAAGGUAGGCGGAAUGUGUAAUGUAGCGGUGAAAUGCUUAGAUAUUACACAGAACACCAAUUGCGUAGGCAGCUUACUGAGCCGACACUGACGCUGAGGCACGAAAGCGUGGGGAUCGAACAG
RNAcentral lists this ribosomal RNA (423 nucleotides) under uncultured bacterium. RNAcentral describes it as "bacterial SSU rRNA". It matches the Rfam family "Bacterial small subunit ribosomal RNA", at positions 355 to 775 of the family's 1533-position model. The record is from RNAcentral.